RNAcentral lists this ribosomal RNA (484 nucleotides) under uncultured bacterium. RNAcentral's name for it is "partial 16S ribosomal RNA". It matches the Rfam family "Bacterial small subunit ribosomal RNA", at positions 30 to 507 of the family's 1533-position model. The record is from RNAcentral.
AUUGAACGCUGGCGGCAGGCCUAACACAUGCAAGUCGAGCGGAUGAAGGGAGCUUGCUCCUGGAUUCAGCGGCGGACGGGUGAGUAAUGCCUAGGAAUCUGCCUGGUAGUGGGGGAUAACGUCCGGAAACGGGCGCUAAUACCGCAUACGUCCUGAGGGAGCAAGUGGGGGAUCUUCGGACCUCACGCUAUCAGAUGAGCCUAGGUCGGAUUAGCUAGUUGGUGGGGUAAAGGCCUACCAAGGCGACGAUCCGUAACUGGUCUGAGAGGAUGAUCAGUCACACUGAAACUGAGACACGGUCCAGACUCCUACGGGAGGCAGCAGUGGGGAAUAUUGGACAAUGGGCGAAAGCCUGCUCCAGCAAUGCCGCGUGGGUGAAGAAGGUCUUCGGAUUGUAAAGCACUUUAAGUUGGGAGGAAGGGCAGUAAGUUAAUACCUUGCUGUUUUGACGUUACCAACAGAAUAAGCACCGGCUAACUUCGUG